Molecule: ribosomal RNA, 484 nt
Filed under: uncultured bacterium
Lineage: Bacteria
Description: partial 16S ribosomal RNA
Rfam family: Bacterial small subunit ribosomal RNA
Source: RNAcentral
AAUGAACGCUGGCGGCAGGCCUAACACAUGCAAGUCGAGCGGAUGAACGGAGCUUGUUCCUGUCUUCCGCUGCCGACGGGCGAGUAAUGCCUAGGUAUCUGCCCUGUAGUGGGGGCUAACGUCCGGUAACGGGAGCUGAUAUAGCAUCCGAUCUGAUGGUGAACGUGGUGGAUCUUUGGAGCACGCGCUAUCUGCUGAGCCUAGGUCGGAUUAGCUAGUUGGUGGGGUAAAGGCCUACCAAGGCGACGAUCCGUAACUGAUCUGAGAGGAUGAUCAGUCACACUGGAACUGAGACACGGUCCAGACUCCUACGGGAGGCAGCAGUGGGGAAUAUUGGACAAUGGGCGAAAGCCUGAUCCAGCCAUGCCGCGUGUGUGAAGAAGGUCUUCGGAUUGUAAAGCACUGUAAGUUGGGAGGAAGGGCAGUAAGAGAAAAUCUGGCUGUUUUGACGGUACCAACAGAAUAAGCACCGGCUAACUUCGUG